Molecule: long non-coding RNA, 5022 nt
Filed under: Homo sapiens (human)
Lineage: Eukaryota; Metazoa; Chordata; Mammalia; Primates; Hominidae
Description: HSALNT0079500
Source: RNAcentral
CCACCCUCCCUGAAUAUGACAGCCCCAAACCAAGUCCUCCCCUCAGGACACCCACUCUCAAGCGGUGCAUCCCUGAGGCCCUUUCCUCUGCACCGAUGCUCGGACUCUCCGUGUGUGCCAUUUUGCAGUGGGGUCACGCUCCACGUGUUGUUCUGCCACUGCCUUUGGUUUCUCGACACUGCCUCGUGGACACGCAGGGAGAGCUUGCAGCUGGUGACAAGCUCUCCAGCAGGUGAGUAAUCCAGCAGCUCUUUCUGCCUCGAGGUGAGUGAGGUAACCUCUCUGGGUGCCAAAGGCAGGAGCGAAGAGAGUGAUUCACAGAGCUGUUCUCCUUAUUUGUCCAAUUGGGACCAGCCUGGUUCACUGAAGUAAGAGUCCAGGAAAGAUGAGCGUUUUUAUUUACCUGAGUGAGUCUCUGGUUUAGUGUUUCUUCUUAAACACUGAGUUCACAGGGCUCUUAAAGCAGACCGGAGUCGCAGAAAAGGGCACUGGACAGAGUCAGUCCACAAGUAUCUGCUGAGGUCCUACUAUGCGUCAGACACUGUUCAGGCACAGGGUUGUGCUGAAGACGAGAGCAACAACAUCCCAAAGCUCUGUCAUGUUGGUGGAUGUGUCAUGCUGGUGGGGGAAAGACAGAGAAGAGUCAGGUAAACAUGUAAGUACCUUUAGACACUGGUCACUGCUUACAGAAAAUACAGUCGGGUGAGAUCAUGGUCCCUUGAAGGGCAGACAGAAUCAGCAGACUUGGGGUCCAGCUUCCAUCCAGCAAGAACUGUGUGACAUGGAACACGACUCUCCCCUCUCCUGGAUUUCACUUUCCUCAGCUGCACAAAGACAGCGCUGGACCCAGUCACCUGGUGCCACCUUCUAGCCAUAGAAAAAGCACACAGGAGGUGCAGACACAAUGUUCUGUGACUAUUUCUUCCCAGAGUUCCUGUUCUACGGUUGCAGCCUCUAGGAAGGGAGAUAUUGAUUAAAAGUCCUUCAACCAAAGGCCAAAGCUCUAGAGAACACAGAACAGCAGGAAGAGGAACCCAGCCUUGAGACCAAUAUAUUUUAUAUAAAUUCAAAGCAACUUUGUGCUCUCUGGGCCUUUGCUGCCAGCCCAAGUGAGAGGAAAGUCAGAUGAUUCUCCAGGUUUGGGAAGCUAGGCUCCCACGGCCAGAAACUGCCGGGCAAGGCAGAGGCCCGAGACCUGGGGAGGAAGGUGGAGGGAGGCGGCGCUGGAGGAGAGGAUGGCAGGAGCUUCCUAGGCCCUUGGGAACCAGGGUCUGCCACAACCCCCGUCAGCUGAACAGGCUCCCCUUCCACGUGUGACCUCCCAGCUCCACCACAUUAAUCCCUCAUGGCACGGCCCCGCCACAAACAGGGCCAGCAGAUCUCGUUUGCUGAACACUCCCAGGACCAACCCGAAAGGGGACCUGAGUUCAGGCACCACCAAGAAAAUCCUGCUUUGCAAACAGGACCAGUUUAGCCCUGGAGAACCAGAGGUGGCAGGAAGGAGUGGAGAGGAUCUCCGCCUUCCCCUCCCUCAAAGGAAAGUGACUCCUACAAUUUCUUUCUUUUUUUAAAUUCACAGGUUCACGUGCCAUUUAGAAAGUGGGUUCAGUGCCUGGGGACUUGACCCUGAGCAUUAUGGACUCCAACAGCGGUAGGAUUGUGAAGUUUAAUCAAUGAUGAGAUUUUCCCACCUCAGCCUGACAGGAAUGACACUCAGCUGAGAAGAUGGCAGUGGUGCUUUUCCUUUAGGGGAAGAAAGGAGGGCCCCCGGAAACCGUCUGUCCUAUCUGAUUCAUGCUCAUUCAUAAUGCAGCAGGCUUAGGAGCCGCAAAUAACAUACUAGUGCAAGAAGGCAAGCCAGUCAGGCAGUCUCAUAUAUCACUGCUCCAUCUGUCACACUGACACAAGGAUUCAAGCUACUGAGGCCUGUGGCUCUUCACAGGGAGUUGAGAUGGCAAGAAGCAGAGGCAACUUGGGGGAGAUGCCCAUUUUAGGGUUUUGAUGAAAGCGGAGUGAAAUAAUGCUCAGUAUAAUAGUCAGACACAGUAAGACUGAGUGCCAACCAUGUGACAGGCACUGUGACAGGCUCAAGGAAUCAAAUAUCAGAUCAAAUAAGACGCUGGCAUGGGUGGACCUCAAGGACGCAUUUACCUGGGAAGGCCCCUGGCAGGUGCCCAGUGCCAAGUACAAAGUGCAAUAAACGCAACUUAAAGUCCUGACGUUCCCAGAUCUAGGAUGACCCAGGAGUCCAAUGGGAAAGUCCGAAGGGCAGCCACAAGCCAGCAAGGGACCGCUUCCUUUUUCUCCUCUCCACAGCCCAAGGAAACACUCCCUUGGAAUCGUAGAAAGGACUAAAGAUUUCUCCAUUUUACAACCAACAGACAUUAAGCAAUAUGAAAGAAAUGCUUCCCUGGACUUAAAGUAAGGACUGGAGAUGUGCUGAUUUUGUACCUAAAAUAGAUGGAGAUUCCUGGGAAAUUUUGGCCUGAGAUCCUGAACCAUCUGGCCAUGCCCUAAGCCUUUGCCUUUGCUGGCAGCAAAUACGUUCCAAGCUCCUCUAAAAAUUUGUCAGUCAAGCAUUGAUACAUUUACAGGGAGAGUGAGAAAAAAUAUUACUGAGUUUGGGAGACUAAGGCCUUAACUCUGACUUUGAAAGUCUCACUAGGAUUUCUUAUGGGCCUUGGGGCUUGGUUUAUUUUCAAAGGCGACCACUUCAAGCUGCACCCAGAGAGAAGCUCAGGUCGCACAGCGCCGAGUUUCUGAGAAGGUUACUAACAGCCGUCCUUAAAAUGUACCACCUUCCCUGCCUCUUCCCUCCUUGGGAGGAGCUGUAUAAAAUGAGGAGCCGUGGCCCUAGGGGAGCUGGAGAAUGUUCCUGAGAGAUUAUAGAUCUGGAGGCACGUGGGCCAGGACAACAAAGAGAAUUGUCUGCUGGCAAAGGCAGCUGUGGCAGAGUCUGCUACGAUGGCCACCCCCAGGAGCUCUCUCUGCCAUGGCCAGGGAGUACUGGGGCAGUCCCAGAAGGCAAAACCAGUGAGAGGGGCUAGGACCCCAUGGCUGCCUAGGGGACUCCUCAGGAAAAACCAAAGCUGGAGUGGCCCUGAGGAAGCUCUGGAGUGACUGAGGACCUAGUGAUUUUGGGGACAUGGGGCUUUCCAUGCUCAAGACAGGACAGUCUGGGGCAAACCCCACAUAUCAGCCACUCCAGCAGCUUUCGUCUUCCUGGGGGUAGCUGGGGCAUGCUGCUUAAGGACGGUCACUCCUAGAACAGCGUCUAGGAUGAAGAAAUACGGCUCAUGAGGACAUUUAAAACAACAAACCUGAUCUCACUGCCACCGGGGCCACAGAACCCCACAUGGGUGGAUGGGGCAGGCUGAGGCCGCUCAGUGGGGUGCUGGAAAGCUGGGAGGCAGGUCAGGGGCCUGCUCUGGGAGACUUCUUUUCUUUCUGUUUCCUCCUUUUUUCAUUCAAAUCUCCACCUUCAAGGGAGGGGGCCUUGGACAGCUGUACCCUCAUGAAAGUAAAGAGUAGCUCUUUCCGGUCUGCCACCAGGAAGCAAAGGAUUAGGGGACCCCACACAGCUUCCUUUGGGGGCUGGUGGGAACAGCCAGCACUCUUUUGGGCUGAGUCACAUGGAGGUCCCGUGCGUCCUCCCCUUUUCCUGCCUGAGCCAUGAUUUGCCCGUGGCCAAUGUGUGGCCUGUGGAAUUGGCACUGGGCAAGCCUGCGGCUGGGUCCCAAGGCUCCUGCUCUAGGCAGGCAUCUGCUCUCUUGCCUGGCUUUCCUGCUUGUUCUCUUCUCCCUGGCCUCUUCAACCUCUGAUAAAUAAGUCCCUUUCUCCUCCACUCUUUACCCCACUUUCAUUUCUUUCUCUUCCAUCUCCGUGUCCUGAGGAAUAAAGGAGGGCCUAGGCAGCUCCCUGGCCCCAUGCCUUCUCCCUGCCCAAGAAGUUCUUAAAUGUUUAAGGGAAAGAUGGUUUUUCACAAAGGAAAUGUUCACUCCUCCACUGGACUGUGAGUUCCACGAGGUCAGGGACUGUGUUUUCCCUGCCCCUUGCUGUCUCCUGGUAUUGGGCAUGUAAACAUGUGUUCAUGGAUUAUACAAAUAAAAAAGAAGACUGCUUUUAACAAGGGUGGCCUCUGAGGACAAGUGACGUAGAGAGAGAAGGAGAAGAUGUUAAAACUUUUUAUUUAUUUACAAUUUCCUUCUCUUAAAAAUGUUGACUUUGGUCAGGCCUUCUGGCCAAGUGGAAUGUAGCCUGAGGUCAUUGUCAGGGUCUUCUCAAGAGAUGGAUGUUGCAGGAGGGGCUGCUUCACCUCCAGUUCCCAUGGGAGCUCCACUUAUACAGGGAGAGAAAUCAGGGAAAUGAGAAGCAAGGAAGUGGGAGGAAGGUGCACAUUUAGAUGAAUUUUCUCUAUCACUCCAUCUAGCCAGCAUGUAAGCUUUGUCUGUCCUGGUUCAGAAAAGCUGGUUUCUCUCCAGAAUCCAGAGGAGGGAAGGAAGGAGCUAAUUUUAUUCAGCAUCUACUGUGUGUCAUGCACAUCACAUAAUUUAUAUCACUGAUUCAUAAGAAUCUAGUUUGAUUGUGAUCCUUAUUAAACAGAUGAAGUUCAAUAAUUCACCUAAAGUCAUGCCCACGAGAGGGAAACCCGGGAUUUAAACUGACCUUCCUACGCUUAAGCCUGUCACCCUCCUUCCAUUAUGUUAUGCUACCUGUGGUUACAAAUAUAAAGAAAAAAUCAGUUGCCAGAGUAGAAGAGGGUAAGGGGGAAGCAUCCUCUAAAAGUUGGAUGAGCCUCACAGGCAUAUGAACAAUGCUGGACGUAAGUGGGUACUUACUGUAGGAUCCUAUUUAUAUGAUGCUCAAGAACAGGCAAAACUAACCUAGGAUGCUGGAAAUGAGAACAGUGUUUGUCUCUGUGGGUGGGGAUUGAUUGAAAAAGGACAGGAGAGAGCUUCACUGGGAUAAUGGAAUUCUUCUAUAUUUUAUUUGGGUGAUGGCAGGAAUAGUGUUUGUAGGAAC